AACCGCAGGUCAGCGGCUAAUCCGUCCGCCUGAAAAGCGGAAGGUCGGCGGUUCGAUCCCGCCCCUGGCCA
RNAcentral lists this transfer RNA (71 nucleotides) under Mycobacterium sp. 012931. RNAcentral's name for it is "tRNA-Phe". It matches the Rfam family "tRNA". From Rfam's summary of the family: Transfer RNA (tRNA) molecules are approximately 80 nucleotides in length. Their secondary structure includes four short double-helical elements and three loops (D, anti-codon, and T loops). Further hydrogen bonds mediate the characteristic L-shaped molecular structure. tRNAs have two regions of fundamental functional importance: the anti-codon, which is responsible for specific mRNA codon recognition, and the 3' end, to which the tRNAs corresponding amino acid is attached (by aminoacyl-tRNA synthetases). tRNAs cope with the degeneracy of the genetic code in two manners: having more than one tRNA (with a specific anti-codon) for a particular amino acid; and 'wobble' base-pairing, i.e. permitting non-standard base-pairing at the 3rd anti-codon position. The record is from RNAcentral. Lineage: Bacteria; Bacillati; Actinomycetota; Actinomycetes; Mycobacteriales; Mycobacteriaceae.